Drosophila miranda is the source of this 255-nucleotide long non-coding RNA. RefSeq lists it as uncharacterized. The transcript is spliced from 2 exons. The record is from RefSeq and is a predicted model, not a curated record. NCBI's taxonomy places the organism in Eukaryota, Metazoa, Arthropoda, Insecta, Diptera, Drosophilidae.
UGGUCAGUAGUACAUUAAAAUUUCCAGAAAUAUAUGUAGAUCAACGCCUGUACAUAUAUACAUAUGUAUAUACAUAUAUUUUAGUGAGCAGGGUCAAUAUCUGCUGCUCUCUGGGACGAUGACAACGAAUUCAAGAUAAAACUUCAAAAUUAUGCUAUAACUCGGUUCGAAAUCAAUUAGGGCGACGACAGCUUAUGCAGAACACAAAUUUAGCUGAAAAUGGUACCUUUCGCCUUAGACAACAAAACAAUGAAA